GAAGCGAAUAAGGGCGUACGGGGGAUGCCUAGGCAUCGUGUGCCGAUGAAGGACGUGGUACACUGCGAAAAGCCUCGGUGAGGUGUGUGCAACCGCAAGAACCGAGGAUGUCCGAAUGGGGAAACCCGCGUGGGGGCAUGCCCACGCAUCUACAGUUGAACGCAUAGGCUGUAGAGGGGAACCUGGGGAACUGAAACAUCUAAGUACCCAGAGGAAAGGAAAGGAUUCUGCGAGUAGUGGCGAGCGAAAGCGGAAGAGCCCAAACCGGCAAAGGCCGGGGUUGAAGGCCUGUGCAGAAGCGGCGUAGACGGUAGUUGAAGGGACUGGGAAGGCCCGCCAGAGAGGGUGAAAGCCCCGUAGACGAAACCGAAAGGGCCGUGCGCAGACGCCUGAGUACCACCAGGCACGCUAAUCUGGUGGGAAGCUGGGGAGCCCACUCUCCAAGGCUAAAUACACACGAUGACCGAUAGCGAACAAGUACCGUGAGGGAAAGGUGAAAAGAACCCCGGCGAGGGGAGUGAAACAGAACCUGAAACCGUAUGCCUACAAGCAGUCAGAGCACGGAAGUGUGAUGGCGUGCCUUUUGGAGAAUGAGCCACCGAGUUAAUGGCUGUGGCGAGCUUAAGGGAGAGACACCCGAAGGCGCAGCGAAAGCGAGUCUGAAUAGGGCGCAGAGUGGCAGUCAUUAGACACGAAACCUGGUGAGCUAUCCAUGUGCAGGUUGAAGCGAAGCUAACCCUUCGUGGAGGACCGAACCGGUAACUGUUGCAAAAGUUUCGGAUGACGUGUGGAUAGGGGUGAAAUGCCAAACGAACCAGGAGAUAGCUUGUUCUCCCCGAAACAGCUUUAGGGCUGGCGUGCGGAAGUGGUUAAUGGAGGUAGAGCACUGGAUGAGCUAGGGGCCGCAAGGUUACCAAACUCAACCAAACUCCGAAUGCCAUUAACUAAGCCGUGCAGUUGGACAACGGGAGAUGAGUUUCGUUGUCGAGAGGGAAACAACCCAGACCCACCGCUAAGGUCCCUAAGACCAAACUAAGUGGAAAACGAGGUGAGGGUGUGUAGACAGCCAGGAGGUUGGCUUAGAAGCAGCCACCCUUUAAAGAGUGCGUAAUAGCUCACUGGUCAAACGCCCUUGCGCGGAUAAUGUAACGGGGCUCAAGUUUGGCACCGAAGCGUGGGAUGCGAAAGCAUGGUAGGGGAGCGUCGUAAGCCUGAAGAAGGUAUUCUGGAAGGGAUGCUGGAGGGCUAACGAGUGAGAAUGGUGGCAUGAGUAACGACAAACAGGUGAGAACCCUGUUCGCCGCAAGUCUAAGGUUUCCGACGGAAGGACAGUCCGCGUCGGGUUAGUCGGGCCUAAGCCGAGGCCGCAAGGCGUAGGCGAUGGACAACGGGUUAAUAUUCCCGUACCGGCUGGUGGAGCAAGUGAGGGACGAGCGUGGAUAGCCCAGCCACUGAAUGGCAGAAGUGGUGGCAAGCGGUGAGAGCCGUGACGCCGGGUCUCCGGACCAGAAGUGGGUGAGUCCAGGCUUCGAGAAAAGCUCAACUGCGAAGAAGCGAGCCGCCCGUACCGCAAACCGACACAGGUAGACGAGGUGAGUAUCCACAGGCGAACGAGAGAACCCUCGUUAAGGAACUAGGCAAAAUGGCUCCGUAACUUCGGGAGAAGGAGCGCCAGUGAGAGCUGGCCGCAGAGAAAUGGCCCUGGCGACUGUUUAACAAAAACACAGGUCUCUGCGAACCCGAAAGGGGACGUAUAGGGGCUGACGCCUGCCCAGUGCCGGAAGGUUAAGAGGAGGGGUUAGCUACGGCAACGCUCCGAAUUGAAGCCCCGGUGAACGGCGGCGGUAACUAUAACCGUCCUAAGGUAGCGAAAUUCCUUGUCGGGUAAGUUCCGACCCGCACGAAAGGCGUAACGAUCAGGGCACUGUCUCAACGAGGGGCUCGGUGAAAUUGAAGGACGCGUAAAGAUGCGCGUUACCCACAGCAGGACAAAAAGACCCCGUGGAGCUUGACUGUAGCUUGCUAUUGCGUUAGGGCAUGGUCUGUGUAGGAU
Molecule: ribosomal RNA, 2053 nt
Filed under: Candidatus Altarchaeales archaeon
Lineage: Archaea; Nanobdellati; Candidatus Altarchaeota; Candidatus Altarchaeia; Candidatus Altarchaeales
Description: partial 23S ribosomal RNA
Rfam family: Bacterial large subunit ribosomal RNA
Source: RNAcentral